GUCUCAGCUAUUUGGGAGGCUGAGGUGGGAGGAUCACUUGAGUCCUGGGGCUGUGAUCAUGCCCCUGCACUCCAGCCUGGGGAACAGAAUGAGACCCUGUCUCAAAAAAAUAAAAAAAAAAUAAUAAAUAAAAUAAAGAAACUCCACCUUGGCCGGGCGCACUGGCUCACUGGGAUUACAGGCAUGAGCCACUGCGCACAGUCUACAAGGCAUCUUUCAAAAGCAAACAUGUUAUUCCUCACACACCUUCUGAAGAUUAAACAUGGGAUGGACACUACUGAUGUGUGGUGGGCUUUGUAUGGCUCACUAAGUGGGAGGAAUUUUUUUAAUAUCCUAUGUCAUAACUCUCAAAGAAUGUGUUAAAGCCAACCCAGGAAAUUUCUUAGGAACAGAGGUCAACUUGACGGUUGCAGUAUUUCUCGGACUUGCGGCUGAUGACAAGGCACAGCAGCCUGGGAAUUACACAAUCUCCGCUCUUACGCAUUUCUUAAUCAUUCACUGGAUACAGUUGCAUGAAUACUUUCUGUUCCUGUUCGAGUUUAGUAAAAAUAGCAAAAUAGAAGCGUCUAUGGGGUUAGGAGAGGAAAAACACUCUAGCAGCAAAUUCUGUUCCAUUCGACCCAACGUACACGAUAGUGAUCAGAGGACGUCUCUGGAGAGCGUGUUUUCCUUUUGACCUUGUGUACUUCCUGUACUUCGCUGCCUCUGUGAGCGUGCUGCUCAGGCAGGGCUCUGGGUCCUCAGCAGCACCGAGGCAGCAGAAACACCAGGUAUCCGGUGCCCACCACACCAGCAACUUCUGCAGGUCACUGCUGAUCCCCACCAGGUCUGACGGGCGGCUGCUCCUCCUGCAUUUCACAGAUGAUUGAAGGAGGCUCCCCAAGGAAGCUGUCCUGGUCAGGUGGUUACAGGUGGCAGAGCAGGUGUGAUAGCCCCAGGGCUGUCUGGCUCCAGAGCCUGUCCUUUCUCAACCCUACCACCCUACUUUACGACUUUACCUCCACUUGUUUUUCUUGCCAAAAACUUUUAGCACUACAGGAGAAAGAAGGCCUAGCUUCAGGGCGCUCACAGUCUAGUGAAGGAGAAAAGAUGAAUAUUUAAAAAGCAUUUUCUUCUCUGUGCAAUGAGGAGCCUGGCACUCUGUGCAAUGAGGAGCCUGGCAUUCAAUUAGAAUUAGGGAUUCUAACUGAAGCAUCAAACCAGAUUAGCUCAAUGCAGGAUGUUGGAACAGAGCACUGUGGGAAUUCUGCUUACUGUCAGAGUUUGUAUAUGGGUAGCCAGGCAUGGGGAGGAGGUGGGAAACAGUGAAAGCUGGAGGGACCAGGAUUCAUACCCCAGAGUGAUGGAUAAGGUGUAGACAGUAUAACAGCAACCUCGAUAGCUUGUAUUGAUUUUGGACUUGCCAAAGCCAGGUUUGAAGUGCUUUCUAGGUUUUGAUGCUUUGAAUCCACCCUGUAAACCUUAAAGUAGGUACUAUUACUCUGUCCAUUUCCACGUGAAUAGUGGAGACAUAGGGAGGUUAGGGAAAUUGUCCAGGCCCCCCAGCUAGUAAGUGGCCAGUACUCGAACAUAGGCGGGCUGACUCCAAGCCCAAGUUCUUGAUCACUGUACAAAGUAGAGGAUAAGUUGGCAAAUACUCUAAUAGAUUUUGCCAUUAUGCUUGUCAAAUUUGUAAUUAUUUGCCUACUGUCUGUUUUCUCCUCUAACCUAUGUCUCCAAGAGGGCAGGAACUAUGUCUGUCUGGCUCUCAGAGGUAAUUUCAGCACCUAGACUAGUGACUGGCACAUAGAAGGGUCUCAAAAGUUUCGAAGAAUGGAUGAAAUGCAUUGAGGGAAACAGAGGAUUCCUUUCCACGAGCAGUCCCCACCCUCUGAGUCCGCCAUUCAAGAGCUGACGAAUAUGAGCAAACUCACUUCUCUCCCUCCCUUGUCAUCAGCAAAAUGGGGUUGAUAACAGAAGUGAAGCUCCAGAAAAUGGUCUGGAAGUUCCUAAAAAGUUAAAAAAUAGAGUCACCAUAGGACUCAGCAAUUCCACUCCUGGGUGUUUACCCAGGAGAAUUGAGAAUACAGUUAUGUCCACACAAAAACUUAUGCAAGGAUGUUCAUAGCAGCAUUAUCCGUGAUAGCCAAAAAGUGGAAACAACUCAAAUGCCCAUCCACAGGUGAGUGCAUAAACAAAACCAAGGAGAUCCAUGCAAGCACAUAUUUGGUCACAAAAAGAGCGAAGUGCUGAGACAUGCAACAAUAUGAGUAAACCUCAAAAACAUUAUGCUAAGUAAAGAAGCUGGUCACAAAAGGCCACAAAAUGUAUGGUUCCAUUUACAUGAAAUGCUCAGAACAGACAUGUCCAUGGAGGCAAAAAGUAGAUUCGUGGUGGACAGGAGCUGGGUGGAGGGAGGAAUGGGGAAUGAAGAGUAUCUUUUUGGAGUGAUGAGAAUGUUCUGGAAUUAGAUAGUGAUGAUGGUUAUGAAUAUACUAAAAACCACUUAGUUGGAGACAGAACUGGGUUCAAUCCUGGCUGCCCCCCGGCUUGGUGUAUGAGCUGGGGCAAGUUACUCCAUUUUGGGAUCCUCAGUUUCCUUAUCUGUAGGAAGAGACCCUGAUCCAUUUUGAUCCUCAUCACCCUAUUCACUCCUUCUCCUAUGUCCUUGGUGACAAGCCUGGGAGGAAAGAAUGUCCUCUGUUGCACUGGAUUGCCCUGAGGGCAGUGGAUGCCCCUGACUGCUCUGGAUUAGACAGGGCACUUUUCCUUUAUGUUGCAGCCGCCUACCUUGCAGACCUAAUUCAAGGGGUAUGAGGCUUAUCCUGGAAUAUUGUCUAUUUUGUCCCCAAAAUUCCUCAAGCGAUUCCAGCAUGCACCCAAGUUUGUGAACCACUAACUUCAGCUAACAUGCACCAGAAUCACAGGAAGGCAUUUGUUAAAACACCAAUCAUUGGUUCCACCUCCAGAGUUUCUGGCUCUGCACACUUGGGCAGGGUGGAGCCUGGACAUCUGCAUUUCUAACAAGUUCCCAGGUGACACUUAUGAUGCUGUUCUGGCCCACAGUGAGCCCAAACUACAGCCAUGGAGAUCAGCCUCAGCUAGACAAUAGACUCACCUGGACAGUAGACUCACCUGGGAGCUCUUGCAAACACACAGGCUGCACCAAUUAAAUCAGAAUCUUUGAGGCAAGUCCAGGCCUCAGGACUUCCCCCUCAACAUUGCAUUAUGAAAAUGUUCAGCCC
This 3224-nucleotide long non-coding RNA is filed under the name Homo sapiens (human). RNAcentral describes it as "LNC_000457". The record is from RNAcentral. Lineage: Eukaryota; Metazoa; Chordata; Mammalia; Primates; Hominidae.